Molecule: ribosomal RNA, 200 nt
Filed under: uncultured bacterium
Lineage: Bacteria
Description: partial 16S ribosomal RNA
Rfam family: Bacterial small subunit ribosomal RNA
Source: RNAcentral
ACGCUCGACACCUACGGGAGGCAGCAGGUGGGGAAUAUUGCACAAUGGGGGAAACCCUGAUGCAGCGACGCCGCGUGGAGGAAGAAGGUCUUCGGAUUGUAAACUCCUGUUGUUAGGGGAAAAAGAGGAUGGUACCCAACAAGGAAGUGACGGCUAACUACGUGCUAGCAGCCGCGGUAAUCUGAGCGGGCUGGCAAGGC